GACGAACGCUGGCGGCGUGCUUAACACAUGCAAGUCGAACGGAAAGGCCCUGCUUUUGUGGGGUGCUCGAGUGGCGAACGGGUGAGUAACACGUGAGUAACCUGCCCUUGACUUUGGGAUAACUUCAGGAAACUGGGGCUACUACCGGAUAGGAGCUCCUGCUGCAUGGUGGGGGUUGGAAAGUUUCGGCGGUUGGGGAUGGACUCGCGGCUUAUCAGCUUGUUGGUUGGGGAGUGGCUUACCAAGGCUUUGACGGGUAGCCGGCCUGAGAGGGUGACCGGCCACAUUGGGACUGCGGUACGGCCCAGACUCCUACGGGAGGCAGCAGUGGGGAAUAUUGCACAAUGGGCCGAAGCCUGAUACAGCAACGCCGCGUGCGGGAUGACGGCCUUCGGGUUGUAAACCGCUUUCGCCUGUGACGAAGCGUGAGUGACGGUAAUGGGUAAAGAAGCACCGGCUAACUACGUG
Molecule: ribosomal RNA, 468 nt
Filed under: uncultured bacterium
Lineage: Bacteria
Description: partial 16S ribosomal RNA
Rfam family: Bacterial small subunit ribosomal RNA
Source: RNAcentral